CAGUAGCCGCGGUAAAACGGAGGGUGCAAGCGUUAAUCGGAAUUACUGGGCGUAAAGCGCACGCAGGCGGUCUGACAAGUCAGAUGUGAAAUCCCCGGGCUUAACCUGGGAACUGCAUUUGAAACUGUCAGGCUGGAGUCUUGUAGAGGGGGGUGGAAUUCCAGGUGUAGCGGUGAAAUGCGUAGAGAUCUGGAGGAAUACCGGUGGCGAAGGCGGCCCCCUGGACAAAGACUGACGCUCAGGUGCGAAAGCGUGGGGAGCAAACAGGAUUAGAUACCCGGGUAGUCCCUGUCUCUUAUAU
RNAcentral lists this ribosomal RNA (301 nucleotides) under uncultured bacterium. RNAcentral's name for it is "partial 16S ribosomal RNA". It matches the Rfam family "Bacterial small subunit ribosomal RNA", at positions 509 to 809 of the family's 1533-position model. The record is from RNAcentral.